Long non-coding RNA from Brassica napus (rape), 1802 nucleotides. RefSeq lists it as uncharacterized. Lineage: Eukaryota; Viridiplantae; Streptophyta; Magnoliopsida; Brassicales; Brassicaceae. The record is from RefSeq and is a predicted model, not a curated record. The transcript is spliced from 3 exons.
CCAUCACUCGUCACCGAGACUACAUCAGUCGGGAUGAUUUGCUCCUACAUCACUCGGUACAUUAUCCUUUCUUGGUGAAAUGAUUGUAUUAAAUUAAAUUUCGAUUAGAGGAUAUAUACAAAUACAGGCCGAUUCUUUGUCAAUGAGUAUAAACUAGUUUUUACAUAAUUAAAAAACAGAACAUUGAAAGUAUGUUGAACGCUUUAAAUCAUGAAUGGUUCAAUAUCUGAUAAGAAGUACAUAAUUAGGUAACUACACAAAAUAAUUAUGUGUGGGGAUCAGAUUCAAUCCGGGUGAUGUAGCAAUUACCAAACUAACCUCAUGACGUUUUGUGUUCGCGAUUUAGGGUAGGCUGUAUUUAGGUAGCAAGCUAAAAUGGUUAAACUUUUAAUUGGGGGUUAGUAAUGAUUGCCUUUUUUCCUACCUCUUUUACGUGUGUUUGUUUGAGCAUCACGAACCAGUAGAAACAUAGGAAAACCUGACACAGCGGCUGCAUGGCCAGGAAGAUCAGAAGAAAAGAUAUUGGGUUGCAUGCGAAAAGUUUUUCUGGGGGAGGGUUUCUAAAACAUGUACUCGAGGUUUGUGUAUAAAAGGGAGCUCAACGAUGAGCUUCUCCUCACACUUGAGGAAAUAAAUCAAGAUGGUUCGCUCUGUACGAUUUUGGCGAGGACAAUGGAAGAAGAGUGGGAGUUCAUAACCCAUCCAGAAGACAUAGGCUAUAGGGUGGUCGUCUACGAAACUGUGAGCUACGAUACGAUUGACCAGAUAAUAAGACAGCGCUACGGUCUCAGCCAGUAUACACCUCUUGUCAUUUCUCACCGACUUCCUAAUUGGAUGCUCGGCCCCCAAGGUAACCGGGCACCGCCGAUGACGAUCUCGAGCACAGCUGUGUUGUCUUGGCUUCUCCAUGGGAGAACCUGGAUAAGUGAGCUUCCUAUGCUCAUAACGAUGGGUCCAAAAGACAUUGCUGAAUACGAGUUUCACUACCGUACUAAUUUUUAGGCAAUACAACGUAUGUCCUUGAUCACACCGCAAACGAGAACUCGAGAGCCGUUUACGAAAGUUUAGUCUUUGGAAAUCGUGCAGCACAGACCGAGCGGGUCAUGGAUGCUUUAUUUCCACAAGACAGCUUGCGGCUCUUCCACCGAGUUUCGUUGGAGAUGGCUUUCGCAGACAAUUUUCUGGCUAACCAACACGGAGGCACACAACCAGUUAGAGAGAUCAUCAAACUUGACGACGAUGAUACUGAAAUGGAUGAAGGAGCUCAAGGAAAUGCGACACCUGGUGAGUGGUGGAUCUAUGUAUAUUAGUUAGCACGUUAAUAAUUUUUAUUGUAAUGUAAGGCUUUAAGAUUAGCCGGUUAUCUGAUCUUCAUUGACAAUUUCUAAUUUUUUAGUUGAAGGUGUAACCGGGCUUGGUAAUGAAGGCGUUGGACCUGUUGGUCAAGGAAAUGCGACCCCUGGUGAGUAAAAGGAUCUAUGUAUCAUAGUUAGCCCGUUAAUGCUUUAAGUGUAAUGUAAGUCUGUAUGUUUAGCAGGUUAUCUGAAAUUAAUUGACAAUAUAUAAUUUUUUGGUUGAAGGUGUAACCGGGCUUGGUACCGAAGUCGUUGGACCUGUUGGUCAAGGGGAUGCGCCACCAAUAUUAUGGGAUGUUGGUAUGGACAAGCCGGCAAUGGGAGAACAUCGAAGGGCGCAACGAGCGCUCGGUCGCUACGUAGCGACUGAGCGUCUGUUUCGCUCGGUCGCUACGUAGAGACCGAGCACUAGUUCCGCUCGGUCGUUAUGUAGCGACCGGGUUCGAG